CGGACGGGUGAGUAAUGUAUGGGGAUCUGCCUGAUGGCGGGGGAUAACUACUGGAAACGGUAGCUAAUACCGCAUAAUGUCUGCGGACCAAGGCGGGGGACCUCCGGGCCUCGCGCCAUCAGAUGAACCCAUAUGGGAUUAGCUUGUAGGUAAGGUAACGGCUUACCUAGGCGACGAUCCCUAGCUGGUCUGAGAGGAUGACCAGCCACACUGGAACUGAGACACGGUCCAG
RNAcentral lists this ribosomal RNA (232 nucleotides) under uncultured bacterium. RNAcentral's name for it is "partial 16S ribosomal RNA". It matches the Rfam family "Bacterial small subunit ribosomal RNA", at positions 99 to 334 of the family's 1533-position model. The record is from RNAcentral.